GACGAACGCUGGCGGCGUGCUUAACACAUGCAAGUCGAACGGAAAGGCCCUGCUUUUGUGGGGUGCUCGAGUGGCGAACGGGUGAGUAACACGUGAGUAACCUGACCUUGACUUUGGGAUAGCUUCAGGAAACUGGGGCUAAUACCGGAUAGGAGCUCCUGCUGCAUGGUGGGGGUUGGAAAGUUUCGGCGGUUGGGGAUGGACUCGCGGCUUAUCAGCUUGUUGGUGGGGUAGUGGCUUACCAAGGCUUUGACGGGUAGCCGGCCUGAGAGGGUGACCGGCCACAUUGGGACUGAGAUACGGCCCAGACUCCUACGGGAGGCAGCAGUGGGGAAUAUUGCACAAUGGGCGGAAGCCUGAUGCAGCAACGCCGCGUGCGGGAUGACGGCCUUCGGGUUGUAAACCGCUUUCGCCUGUGACGAAGCGUGAGUGACGGUAAUGGGUAAAGAAGCACCGGCUAACUACGUG
Molecule: ribosomal RNA, 468 nt
Filed under: uncultured bacterium
Lineage: Bacteria
Description: partial 16S ribosomal RNA
Rfam family: Bacterial small subunit ribosomal RNA
Source: RNAcentral